Molecule: non-coding RNA, 68 nt
Organism: Nematostella vectensis (starlet sea anemone)
Lineage: Eukaryota; Metazoa; Cnidaria; Anthozoa; Actiniaria; Edwardsiidae
Source: Rfam
CCUUAACGAGAAUCUGAUACGGUUCCAGUCAGACCGGAGGAGAAAGACGCUAAUACAGCUUCGCAACC